GGAUCCAGACUUUGAUCAUGGCUCAGGAUGAACGCUAGCUACAGGCUUAACACAUGCAAGUCGAGGGGCAGCGGGAUUGAAGCUUGCUUCAAUUGCCGGCGACCGGCGCACGGGUGAGUAACGCGUAUCCAACCUUCCGUACACUCAGGGAUAGCCUUUCGAAAGAAAGAUUAAUACCUGAUGGUAUGAUGAGAUUGCAUGAUAGCAUCAUUAAAGAUUUAUCGGUGUACGAUGGGGAUGCGUUCCAUUAGGUAGUAGGCGGGGUAACGGCCCACCUAGCCAACGAUGGAUAGGGGUUCUGAGAGGAAGGUCCCCCACAUUGGAACUGAGACACGGUCCAAACUCCUACGGGAGGCAGCAGUGAGGAAUAUUGGUCAAUGGACGAGAGUCUGAACCAGCCAAGUAGCGUGAAGGAUGAAGGUCCUACGGAUUGUAAACUUCUUUUAUAAGGGAAUAAACCCUCCCACGUGUGGGAGCUUGUAUGUACCUUAUGAAUAAGCAUCGGCUAACUCCGUGCCAGCAGCCGCGGUAAUACGGAGGAUGCGAGCGUUAUCCGGAUUUAUUGGGUUUAAAGGGAGCGCAGACGGGUCGUUAAGUCAGCUGUGAAAGUUUGGGGCUCAACCUUAAAAUUGCAGUUGAUACUGGCGUCCUUGAGUGCGGUUGAGGUGUGCGGAAUUCGUGGUGUAGCGGUGAAAUGCUUAGAUAUCACGAAGAACUCCGAUUGCGAAGGCAGCACACUAAUCCGUAACUGACGUUCAUGCUCGAAAGUGUGGGUAUCAAACAGGAUUAGAUACCCUGGUAGUCCACACGGUAAACGAUGGAUACUCGCUGUUGGCGAUAUACUGUCAGCGGCUUAGCGAAAGCGUUAAGUAUCCCACCUGGGGAGUACGCCGGCAACGGUGCAACUCAAAGGAUUGACGG
This 921-nucleotide ribosomal RNA is filed under the name uncultured Bacillota bacterium. Its description in RNAcentral is "bacterial SSU rRNA". It matches the Rfam family "Bacterial small subunit ribosomal RNA", at positions 1 to 916 of the family's 1533-position model. The record is from RNAcentral. Lineage: Bacteria; Bacillati; Bacillota.